This 930-nucleotide long non-coding RNA is filed under the name Brachypodium distachyon (stiff brome). RNAcentral's name for it is "long non-coding RNA (BDIS_LNC004782)". Lineage: Eukaryota; Viridiplantae; Streptophyta; Magnoliopsida; Poales; Poaceae. The record is from RNAcentral.
CUAUGUAAUUUUUGGCAUAGAAAAUCUAGGGGUUGAUGUGUGGGGAUGUUAUUUUUCUGCUGCUGAACGUGCUGUUUUGAGAAAAAAGAUGGUCUCUGAUCGAUAUGUUUUUUUUAGACAAUCUCUGAUCGAUAUGUAGGGAAGGUUGACAGGUCUCUGCCUGCCCAGCGCGAUUUCCGGCUCCAUCCCGCGCACCGGCCACCGGGUGGCGCUCGCGAUCGCCCGCUCGCGCGCUUAACCGGUUGCGCUCCGCCUUAACGGGCGCCACACGUUAAAAUACGGUGCACACGUCGCCCAAUAGUUCGGUCCAUUAUUUAAUUUACGGUUCGCGUUUCGUCCAUCCGUCCGUCACUCGUACGUCGUCUAACCCCACGUGCAAUUAACCAACCGAGAUCCCCGAACAGCCUCGUUCCCAUCCCAGCACGAUUACCUCCAACGAUCCCGCAAUUACCUCCCCACCCACUAUGGGUGGCCAACGGGCCGGUCCGGCCCCUGCUAAACGGGCCUAGCCGGAGCCCAGCCCAAAAACUCCUCCUCCAAGCCCAUGCGCAGCACCAAGCCCGGACGGCCCGGCCCGUUAAGCUUGACCGGGCUAGCAAGGUCUCUCACGCCAAAUGUACAAAAAUAAAAAAACCUUAGAUUUGGGCCAAAACUGCUUGAGAUGAUAGGCCAAAUGUAAAAAUAAGUUAGCUUAGACCAGAUUUUUGAGAGUUGAUGGAUCAAAUGAAGGAAAUCUAAAAAAUAAAAAAGAUAAUCGGGCCGUGCUAGGCAGGCCUUGGUCCGGCCAGAUUAAUUCUCAUCCUUUCCUCUCCUUUUGGCCCAGUUCGACUACCAACAUCAACAUCUUGGCCCAGCCACAGGCCUGCCUCCUCCCCUCCUUCCGCAGGCCUAUGACAUUCUGGAUCGAGAGCCAUCGACUCAUCGAGGCCA